Molecule: ribosomal RNA, 879 nt
Filed under: uncultured bacterium
Lineage: Bacteria
Description: bacterial SSU rRNA
Rfam family: Bacterial small subunit ribosomal RNA
Source: RNAcentral
GGCUCAGGACGAACGCUGGCGGCGUGCCUAAUACAUGCAAGUAGAACGCUGAAGAGAGGAGCUUGCUCUUCUUGGAUGAGUUGCGAACGGGUGAGUAACGCGUAGGUAACCUGCCUUGUAGCGGGGGAUAACUAUUGGAAACGAUAGCUAAUACCGCAUAACAAUGGAUGACUCAUGUCAUUUAUUUGAAAGGGGCAAAUGCUCCACUACAAGAUGGACCUGCGUUGUAUUAGCUAGUAGGUGAGGUAACGGCUCACCUAGGCGACGAUACAUAGCCGACCUGAGAGGGUGAUCGGCCACACUGGGACUGAGACACGGCCCAGACUCCUACGGGAGGCAGCAGUAGGGAAUCUUCGGCAAUGGGGGCAACCCUGACCGAGCAACGCCGCGUGAGUGAAGAAGGUUUUCGGAUCGUAAAGUUCUGUUGUAAGUCAAGAACGAGUGUGAGAGUGGAAAGUUCACACUGUGACGGUAGCUUACCAGAAAGGGACGGCUAACUACGUGCCAGCAGCCGCGGUAAUACGUAGGUCCCGAGCGUUGUCCGGAUUUAUUGGGCGUAAAGCGAGCGCAGGCGGUUUGAUAAGUCUGAAGUUAAAGGCUGUGGCUCAACCAUAGUUCGCUUUGGAAACUGUCAAACUUGAGUGCAGAAGGGGAGAGUGGAAUUCCAUGUGUAGCGGUGAAAUGCGUAGAUAUAUGGAGGAACACCGGUGGCGAAAGCGGCUCUCUGGUCUGUAACUGACGCUGAGGCUCGAAAGCGUGGGGAGCGAACAGGAUUAGAUACCCUGGUAGUCCACGCCGUAAACGAUGAGUGCUAGGUGUUGGAUCCUUUCCGGGAUUCAGUGCCGCAGCUAACGCAUUAAGCACUCCGCCUGGGGAGUA